UAGUUAUGUGUAUACAUUGUUACUAGAACAUUCAUUCAAUUGUUCGCCAAUUGCGUCUUCCACUGUAGUCUAUAGUGAUACCUAUGUAGUAAAGAAUGCGUUGCUGAAUGACCCAGCCAGCCCCUUGAAAUACGCUCCAGCCCUGAGCUCAUGUGAAUGCCAAGAGAGGUAGGGAGCCGGCGGGCGCAGUGGGGCGGGGCGGGUAGGCUCGGCUCGGCGCAACUCGACUCGAUUCGGCUCUCAAGUGAACCACAUUGGCGCACGUUCCAUUGACACUCGUCACGGUGGCAUUAGGGGGCAGCACCGCCAGCCACCGACGUUGCUUUACAGUGGCUCAAGUAACGGCUCUCUGGUUACUUGACGCGCUGUUGAGGUUAUAACCAAACGAAUUGGCUAGAGGCCGGCCUUAUAUACAUAUAGCUGGCGCCAUCUGGCACUACGGAUCAUAGCACUUUCUGCCAUACUAUAGCAUGACACACACAGACACAGACAGCAAAAAGGUCAAGCGCUAUCAUCAAAUUGCAUUUUCUCAGCGCAAUUUGAGGCGACGCGUGGACAUGACAUCUUAUCAGCAACUCAAAAAA
This is a long non-coding RNA of Drosophila navojoa, 584 nucleotides long. RefSeq lists it as uncharacterized. The record is from RefSeq and is a predicted model, not a curated record. NCBI's taxonomy places the organism in Eukaryota, Metazoa, Arthropoda, Insecta, Diptera, Drosophilidae.